GCGAGUGCGGUGGCACGUGCACGUGUGCAGUAAUACCACGAGCGCACGCUUAUUUUCGCGACUUCGUGUAUAUCAUCAAGAAAUUGGUCUUUGAGCGUUGAGGAAUGGCUGGAACACAUACGUCAUGACAUUGAUGUAAUUUGGGAAGGCCUCAUUGCCAGGUGAAUGUACUGCCAUGGCUGCCUACAUGAACGUUGAGGCUGGCUAGCAUCAUGGUGCAAGUGGACUGACCGAUGAUAUCUCCAAAGUGAAGAGGCAGGUUACGUCAUAAGUAGGACAGACCUCCUCAUAUGAAAGCUGUGGGUAUGCCCCAGGAGAA
Molecule: long non-coding RNA, 319 nt
Organism: Acanthaster planci (crown-of-thorns starfish)
Lineage: Eukaryota; Metazoa; Echinodermata; Asteroidea; Valvatida; Acanthasteridae
Source: RefSeq, a predicted model, not a curated record